GUUCAUUAUUGGGCUUUUACUGUGCAAUGGUGUUUACUUCUUGCCAAAUACUUGCUGCUUGACCUUCUCUCGGCUAUGGCAAUAUCGACCUAAAGACCUAAGAGUUCCUGUUGACAGGAGAUUAUCUUCUGAGAUGUUAUUAAAACAGGUGAUUGCAGCAGAUUUUGGACUGAGCAUGCCAACAUGGGUCAAACAGUUAACAAGGAAAGGAAGAACAAACACUCGUGGAGCUGGAUGUAGACAUUGAGACUUUUAUAUGCAGGUGACAUUGCUGAAAUCUGGAAUGUUGGCUUAAUAAAUCAAAAAACAAUCUGGAACUUGGUUCAUCUUUUGAAUGGUGAUGAUUAUUCUCUGACACUUGGCUUUUCUAGUUGUUAGAUUCUGGAUAGCUGUGCUGAGAGGGGAUGUUCAGAUUAAAGUACAUGAUGGGGUGACAAAGAUUCUGUAACAACAGAGUUGAUGGAAAAGGAUUAUGGUCCUUUUGAAACUCUUCCUUGGUGGGAACCU
Long non-coding RNA from Strigops habroptila (Kakapo), 507 nucleotides. RefSeq lists it as uncharacterized. Lineage: Eukaryota; Metazoa; Chordata; Aves; Psittaciformes; Psittacidae. The transcript is spliced from 4 exons. The record is from RefSeq and is a predicted model, not a curated record.